GUUUAGCCCUGAUUGAGCGGCAUGUUUGAGCUCUUUUCUAGGAACGAAGAAAAAGCGAGUAGCGAAAGCAGGAAAUAGC
This 79-nucleotide unclassified non-coding RNA is filed under the name Polaribacter sp. KT 15. Its description in RNAcentral is "Flavo-1 RNA". The record is from RNAcentral. Lineage: Bacteria; Pseudomonadati; Bacteroidota; Flavobacteriia; Flavobacteriales; Flavobacteriaceae.